Molecule: ribosomal RNA, 301 nt
Filed under: uncultured bacterium
Lineage: Bacteria
Description: partial 16S ribosomal RNA
Rfam family: Bacterial small subunit ribosomal RNA
Source: RNAcentral
CAGCAGCCGCGGUAAUACGGAGGGUGCAAGCGUUAUCCGGAUUUAUUGGGUUUAAAGGGUCCGUAGGCGGAUCUGUAAGUCAGUGGUGAAAUCUCACAGCUUAACUGUGAAACUGCCAUUGAUACUGCAGGUCUUGAGUAAAUUUGAAGUGGCUGGAAUAAGUAGUGUAGCGGUGAAAUGCAUAGAUAUUACUUAGAACACCAAUUGCGAAGGCAGGUCACUAAGAUUUAACUGACGCUGAUGGACGAAAGCGUGGGGAGCAAACAGGAUUAGAUACCCGCGUAGUCCCUGUCUCUUAUAA